This 253-nucleotide ribosomal RNA is filed under the name uncultured prokaryote. RNAcentral describes it as "partial 16S ribosomal RNA". It matches the Rfam family "Bacterial small subunit ribosomal RNA", at positions 525 to 777 of the family's 1533-position model. The record is from RNAcentral.
ACGUAGGUACCGAGCGUUAUCCGGAUUUACUGGGCGUAAAGCGCGUUCAGGCGGUUUGGCAAGUCGGGCAUGAAAUCUCUCGGCUCAACCGGGAGAGGUUGUCCGAUACUUCCAGACUUGAGGGCAGUAGAGGGUGGUGGAAUUCCGGGUGUAGUGGUGAAAUGCGUAGAUAUCCGGAGGAACACCAGUGGCGAAAGCGGCCACCUGGACUGCACCUGACGCUGACACGCGAAAGCUAGGGGAGCGAACGGGA